UCUCCUGUAGCUCAGUGACAGAGCGUCCGACCGAUGUGUGGAAGAUCAUAAGUUCGAUUCAUGUUGGGAGAA
RNAcentral lists this transfer RNA (72 nucleotides) under Desmophyllum pertusum. Its description in RNAcentral is "Lophelia pertusa tRNA". It matches the Rfam family "tRNA". Rfam says of the family: Transfer RNA (tRNA) molecules are approximately 80 nucleotides in length. Their secondary structure includes four short double-helical elements and three loops (D, anti-codon, and T loops). The record is from Rfam by way of RNAcentral. Lineage: Eukaryota; Metazoa; Cnidaria; Anthozoa; Scleractinia; Caryophylliidae.